RNAcentral lists this ribosomal RNA (250 nucleotides) under uncultured prokaryote. RNAcentral's name for it is "partial 16S ribosomal RNA". It matches the Rfam family "Bacterial small subunit ribosomal RNA", at positions 524 to 774 of the family's 1533-position model. The record is from RNAcentral.
UACGUAGGGGGCAAGCGUUAUCCGGAUUUAUUGGGUUUAAAGGGUGCGUAGGUGGUCUGUUAAGUCUGUGGUGAAAGCGUGCGGCUCAACCGUACCAAGCCAUGGAAACUGGCGGACUUGAGUGCAAACGAGGUAGGCGGAAUGUGACGCGUAGCGGUGAAAUGCUUAGAUAUGUCACAGAACCCCGAUUGCGAAGGCAGCUUACCAGCAUGCAACUGACACUGAGGCACGAAAGCGUGGGUAUCAAACA